This 305-nucleotide ribosomal RNA is filed under the name uncultured bacterium. RNAcentral describes it as "bacterial SSU rRNA". It matches the Rfam family "Bacterial small subunit ribosomal RNA", at positions 337 to 658 of the family's 1533-position model. The record is from RNAcentral.
UCCUACGGGGCGCAGCAGUGGGGAAUAUUGCACAAUGGGGGAAACCCUGAUGCAGCAACGCCGCGUGAAGGAAGACGGUUUUCGGAUUGUAAACUUCUGUUCUUAGUGAAGAAGAAUGACGGUAGCUAAGGAGCAAGCCACGGCUAACUACGUGCCAGCAGCCGCGGUAAUACGUAGGUGGCAAGCGUUGUCCGGAAUUACUGGGUGUAAAGGGAGCGCAGGCGGGAAGCCAAGUCAGCUGUGAAAUCCGCGGGCUUAACCCGCGAACUGCAUUUGAAACUAUUGGUCUUGAGUACCGGAGAGGG